This is a long non-coding RNA of Neofelis nebulosa (Clouded leopard), 267 nucleotides long. RefSeq lists it as uncharacterized. The record is from RefSeq and is a predicted model, not a curated record. The transcript has 2 exons. Lineage: Eukaryota; Metazoa; Chordata; Mammalia; Carnivora; Felidae.
CUCCCGAUGAAGGUUGUUUUAUCACUCACCACCUUCACUGCACUAAACCACUAUCAAUGAACAAAUACUUGGGGGUGCCUGGGUGGCUCAGUGGGUUUAGCGUCCAACUUUGGCUCAGGUCAUGAUCUCAGGUUCAUGGGUUCGAGCCCUGUGUCGGGUUCUGUGCUAACAGCUCGGAGCCUGAUUGGAAUUCACUCUCUCCCCUUUCUCUUUGUCCCUCCCCCCCUAGUUGUUCUAUCUCAAAAUAAAUACAUCUGAAAAAAAAAA